Ursus maritimus (polar bear) is the source of this 1711-nucleotide long non-coding RNA. Lineage: Eukaryota; Metazoa; Chordata; Mammalia; Carnivora; Ursidae. The record is from Ensembl.
AUGCAAAUUAUGUUUAAGGUGCAGGAAGCGGAAGCUCAGAGAAUGCACCUCCCAGGGUCCCACAGCCAGCCGGAGAUGGUGCUUGCGGGGGCUCCUGGGUCAGGCUGCACAGCCCGGAGUCUGGCGGCACCUCCGACUUCCCUGCGAUGUUGGACGGUUCGUCCCCGUCUCUCAGCCUGGCUUCACUCACCAAAACCUGCACCGAGGACAGCAGACCGUGCUGUGGGCUCAGUACUUGCUAGUGACUCUCGCUGCGGUGCUCAUGGUGGCUGUGCAGGUACCGUGAGCUGUCGCCUUUCAAGCCCACGUCCCAAGGAACAGGAGGGAACACAAGACUUCUCCAGCUCCCAGUCACACAAGAGAAAGCGCUCACUGGCCCCUCCUUGCCCACGCCUGUCAUGUCCGGACAACCAGACAGACGCCCGGGCCCGAAGGGUGACAAAUCCACUUGCAAGCUGCAGCUCGCUAAGUGGCAGUGGCCUUUUAUUCCCUGACAUCUUUCCAGACCCUUGAAGGGAUUAGAACUGGAUUAGUUUGAGAUGAGCCUGGCUCUGCGUUAUCACCUGUUUAUAAGAUAAUGACAUUAUCUGGGUUGGCCUAUAAGGGCCUCCUUACAUAGGAACUUUGUUCUCUUUGAUCUUGAGGGUUCCGGGCAACCUAUCUUUAAAUCUAAACAAACCCACUGCAGCCUCCAGAUAAGUGUUUAAAACAUCCAGUGGGAAGAGAGGAGAUCCUUUCCUCCCUUCUGCUCAAUGCCAACAGUAAUUUGAAAAUGUGGGCCCUUGACUUCGAACCUAAAACUCACCUUGCCAUUUUCAACGCCGGCCUCUCCGCUCUCCUUUCACACGGGUACAGCCCUUCAAAGUUCGCAGAGCUAUUUUUUUUUUUUUUUGGCCACUUGUGAACUCAGUUGAUUGGCACCCCUGGGAGUGGGGCAGGGUGGGCUCAGUGCCCGCGAGGCAGGCGAGGACCCGCAACAGGUUUGGGAGCGCCCACGUGCUUGCCAGCACUCUCCUCGUUUUUAAGACCAGAGCAGUCAUUUAAAUCCAGCUUAUCUGGAAAACUCCAGCGUUUAUCGCAUCACCUGAAGCCAUCGAAGACCUGCCCUCUCUGCCCAAACAGGGCUUUCCAGAAAGCCCAUCCUCCGUACCGGUCACAGCAAACAUCUGCUCCGUUAGGGGUUCCGGCAGGUGCUGGGCCCAAGCCACUUCCCAAAGCUCCCUACUGUCCCGUCGCGGACUUUUUUUUGAACUGUCUUCAUGGAGCUGCAAUUCACACGCGGCGUGCCAGCCGUCUGCUGGGGCUUGGAAAAUGCACACACUUGUGUAAACACCACCCCAACCAGGAUUUAGACCAUUCCUGUCAUUCCCCACAUGCCUUCAGGCCCCCUGCGUCCAGUCUCCGAACCCCCUCCCCAGCCCCUGACAACCUCUGAUCUUUCCAUCACCGUAGUUUUGCCUUUUCUGGAAUUUCGUCCGAAAGGAAGCACACCGUUCGUAUUCUUUUAUACCUGGCUUCUAUUACUACGCAAACCUCUUUGAGUUUGGGCCAUUUUGUUGUGUGUUUGAUUCGUUCGUUCCCUUUCAUGGCAGAGUGGCCUUCCGCGGUAUGGACGUAUCAGAUUUUCUGUACCCGUGAUGGACAUGUGAGGAGUUUCCAGUUCGAGGCCGUUAUGAAUAAAGCUGCUGUGUUAUCUUGUGUUUUUAUUUAU